CAACCACGGGACGCAGCAGUAGGGAAUCUUCCACAAUGGACGAAAGUCUGAUGGAGCAACGCCGCGUGAGUGAAGAAGGGUUUCGGCUCGUAAAGCUCUGUUGGUAGUGAAGAAAGAUAGAGGUAGUAACUGGCCUUUAUUUGACGGUAAUUACUUAGAAAGUCACGGCUAACUACGUGCCAGCAGCCGCGGUAAUACGUAGGUGGCAAGCGUUGUCCGGAUUUAUUGGGCGUAAAGCGAGCGCAGGCGGGUCAAUAA
RNAcentral lists this ribosomal RNA (258 nucleotides) under uncultured bacterium. RNAcentral describes it as "partial 16S ribosomal RNA". It matches the Rfam family "Bacterial small subunit ribosomal RNA", at positions 333 to 586 of the family's 1533-position model. The record is from RNAcentral.